RNAcentral lists this transfer RNA (77 nucleotides) under Acidaminococcaceae bacterium. Its description in RNAcentral is "tRNA-Arg". It matches the Rfam family "tRNA". Rfam says of the family: Transfer RNA (tRNA) molecules are approximately 80 nucleotides in length. Their secondary structure includes four short double-helical elements and three loops (D, anti-codon, and T loops). Further hydrogen bonds mediate the characteristic L-shaped molecular structure. tRNAs have two regions of fundamental functional importance: the anti-codon, which is responsible for specific mRNA codon recognition, and the 3' end, to which the tRNAs corresponding amino acid is attached (by aminoacyl-tRNA synthetases). tRNAs cope with the degeneracy of the genetic code in two manners: having more than one tRNA (with a specific anti-codon) for a particular amino acid; and 'wobble' base-pairing, i.e. permitting non-standard base-pairing at the 3rd anti-codon position. Lineage: Bacteria; Bacillati; Bacillota; Negativicutes; Acidaminococcales; Acidaminococcaceae. The record is from RNAcentral.
GGUUCCGUAGCGCAGCUGGAUAGCGCGUCUGCCUCCUAAGCAGAAAGUCGGCGGUUCGAAUCCGCCCGGAAUCGCCA